AUGUCUGUGAAGAGAAUAACAACAACAACAAAAAGGCAUGCCUCUUGUAUGUGGACUACGAACACUAUGAACAUGGCACUGUUUCUGCUUCUCAAUAGGAGUUCUCUGUGUCUUGUGAGAGAGGGUUUCUUAAGAACAGAACAAUCAAGAACAUGUAAGGUUAUAUCGAAGAGAGAAAAGGAGAUGAACAUUUUAACCUGAAGUUAAAAGCUUUUUGACCAGAGAAAAUGGCAGAAUCACUAAAAGAUUAAAUAAUGAUUAGCUUAAGAAGAAAGUAACUUCAGUUUUCAUGAUAGUAGGACUAAGAGGAGUUGACAAUACAAAGGAGAAAUUCCAUUUUUCUGUCAAAGAGAAGGUCUGUCCAAGCCUAAAUUGAAAAGAAGAGAAAUCUGCUGCCUUGGUGUGUGACAGGUGAAGACAUUGUACCACCAGCAGAUGUCCACAGGAGAGCAGAGGCAAAGCAUGGUGUUCCACACAUUUAAUAAACACGUUAUUGCUAGGAGUCUCUUAGUGUUG
This 516-nucleotide long non-coding RNA is filed under the name Anas platyrhynchos platyrhynchos (common mallard). RNAcentral's name for it is "lncRNA (ENSAPLG00000018206.1)". The record is from RNAcentral. Lineage: Eukaryota; Metazoa; Chordata; Aves; Anseriformes; Anatidae.